This is a long non-coding RNA of Gallus gallus (chicken), 2627 nucleotides long. RefSeq lists it as uncharacterized. The transcript is spliced from 2 exons. The record is from RefSeq and is a predicted model, not a curated record. NCBI's taxonomy places the organism in Eukaryota, Metazoa, Chordata, Aves, Galliformes, Phasianidae.
AAGAUUAGGGCUGGCUAAUGAUAAAUGAGAAGGCGCCGCUGACAGCUCCUCUCUCCGCGGCUGCCGCCCGGCAGCUCCGCGCUGCGCGCUCCGUGCGCACCUCCGCCCGCACCCGCGGCCGCCGCUUCGCUCCCCUCCGCCCAUCUCUUCUCAGUUUUAAUCUCUUUUUAUUAUUAUUAUUAUCAUUAUCAUCGUUAUUAUUGUUAUUAUCAUAUAUAUUUUUUAUUAUUAUUUUUUCUUAAUUUUUCACCUCCGCGUAGCGCGCAGAGCGCUUGGGGGGGGGGGCUCCAUUUUAACCCCCCCCACCUUCGCCCCAAAACCGCUUUCCUCGGGAUUACGCCGCAUCGAGGGACCGGAGCAGGGGGUAUUUUCCUUCUUUUUACCGGGAUUUGGGCUGGGGGGCUUGGGGGCUCAAUGCGGGGUCGGGAUGCGCUGCGGGCACAGCCUCCCCUCACCCCCACCACCCCCCCCCCCCGGAGGGAUGGGGAUGGCGAUGGGGGGGGAUGCGGGGCUGUUCGCCGCCCCCCCGCACCCCACCCGGGUGACCUUUCCCAUCAAAGCCCGCUCGUCCCCAGCAAGGUGCAUUGGGGCAGCGGGCGGUGGGGGGGGGAGGGGGGGGCGGAGGGGAGAGGGCGCCGCAGCCGGGCUCUCCCCCUCCCUCUGCUUUCCCCCUCCCUCCUCCCCUCCCUCGCUGCUCCCUCCUCUCUCUGCUGCAUUUUGCAUGAGCUAUCUAGGUCAUUAGCAUUUUAGCGUAUGCAAGACUUGACAAAGCUGAUGAGAAGCCAGAUGGGCCCCUCUCCUCUCUUUUUUUUUUUUUCCUGCCUUUUUUUUUCUUUUUCCUCUCUUUUUUUUUCCCUUUUUUUUUCUUUUUUUUUCCCCUUUUUUUUUUUCCUUUUUUUUUUUUUUUUUUUUUUUUUUGCACCACUUGGGAUCCGAGCGAAAAGGAUUUGACUGCAGCAGCAGCGCAGCAGCACAGCAGCACAGGCGGACGGGGGAAGGCUCCUCGCGCUCCUCCAGACCCCUUUUAGAGCAGCAGCAGCAGCAGCAGCGCAGCGCAGCGCAGCGGGGCUCAGGCUGCAGGGCAGCUCCUGGGGUCAGCGCUCCCCCUCCAGAUGGAAGGAGGUUGGGCAAAGCAAAGCCACUUUUUUAUUACCAUUUCCCCACUUUAACCCUUCCUUCUGAUUACCGCUAUUUUUCCGGUGGCUGUUUAUGCGCCUCUCCCCCGCCUCCCCCCCUACCCCCCCUUCCUUUAAUCCUUAUAAUUUAAAUCAAAAGUGUCGGGGAUGCAGAUGGGGGGAGCGCUGUGUCUGCAGGGCGAGGCCGGGCGUAAAUCUCUUGGAGGGAUAAACAUGUCAUUUGUUCCCUUUGUAUGGUAAUGCGUCCCCCCCACUCCCGCAGAUGCCCCCCCCCCCCCCUUCACCCCCCAGCAGCUGCCCCGGCCAUACAUCCUCCCUACAAAAGAUCCCAAUUACCCAUCGGCUGCCUCAUUAUACCCCUAACACAGAGGCGUGUGCGAGCGGCGGCGGAGGGGAGGGCUGGGGGAGAGGAGGGGGUGGCAGCACCUGAAUUAUUCAGAAAAUGCAAUAAAAUAAAAUGAAAUAAAAGAAAAUUCAAGAAACUGCAGAGGGGAGGGAGGUGGAGGGGGCCGCGACCCCGCGGCCUAACGCCGAGCGGUGCCCCCGCAGAGCCCCUGCAGCCCCGCGCUGCUCCACCACCACCCCACCUUCUUAUAUUCUUCCUCCUUUUUUAUCCCUUUUUUUCCCCCCUCCACCCUUUUUUUUCCUCCUCUUAUAGGCAGACAGGUGCCUGAUAGCCCAUCGCCUACCCUGCAUCCCGCUGGGGCCCUUCUCUCAUCCCUUCUCCUAUCCUCUUUCCCGUCCUUUUCUCCCAAGCUGUUUCUCCUACCCAUUUUCCCAUCCCCUUUCCCAUCUCUUCUCCAUUCCCUUUUCCUAUCCCUUCUCCUGAACCUUUCCCCCAUCUCUUUCUCCUAUCUUUUUCUCCAUCCUCUUUUCCCAUCCUUUUCCCUUCCUUUUCCCCAUCCCUUUUCUCAUCAUUCUCCCAUUCCUUCUCCCAUCCCUUCUCAUCUCUUUCCCCCAUUCCUUUAACCCAUUCCUUUUCCCAUCCUUCUCCCAUCCCUUUCCCAUCCCCUGUCCAAUUCCAUUUCCCGUCUCUUCUCCCCAUUCCUUUUUCCCAUCCCUUUUCCAUUCUCCUUCCAUUCCCUUCUUCCAUUUCCUCUCCCGCCCUUCUUCUUCCCAUCCUCUUUCCCAUCCCCUCUCUUUGCAGCUGGAGCCCAUCCACUGCCCUCGCCCACAGCUGGCCCAGUGUUCCCAGCAGGAGCCCAGCACUGGCCAAAGCCAACCCUUACUGGAGGUUCCUCUUUCUCACCCCAUGGCCUGGGGCCCCCAGAUCUCUUUGCAGCUCCGUGAGCAGACUCUUGCCUCUGGGAUGGGAGCAGAGAUGAUGGCUCGGGGUCCCUGGGACAGCUCCUUGCACCCCCCCAGGGGUGCUGCAGGUAUUUGGGGACAGACCUACCGGGUGCGCUGUGGAUGCCGCAAGGAUCCCAUCGGGUUGCGCCGUGCCAAUAAAGCUCUUCUUGCUGCGGGUUCCCGCAUCCUCUCCUUUGUUCA